This is a non-coding RNA of Paramuricea clavata, 443 nucleotides long. Lineage: Eukaryota; Metazoa; Cnidaria; Anthozoa; Malacalcyonacea; Plexauridae. The record is from the annotation of a GenBank genome assembly.
CUGAGGGGGUGGGGGGGGGGAGGUCUCCAAAAUAAUUUUUCCGGAAAAAAUUUUUCGGUACUAGUCGGGCACAAUCCCGAAAAGUCGGGCAAUUUUCUUUCCGCCCCCCUAAAUUUUUCCUUCCGGUACGCCUAUGCAUUUCACUGUCACCUUUUUAAACACUAAAGCACUCGAUGCUCGUGUUUUGGAUGGUUCAUACCGCGCACUCACUGUACAGUUGUGGCCGUGUGAUAGUUUGAAGUAAUGUUUGUACAUGGUCUUUAAAGGCACAGUUCAGCCUUUUGAACGAUGGUUUUUAAGACGCAUUUCAGCCCUUUUAAUUGAAAAAACUAACUAGGAAAAUCAAUUAAGCAUAAUUCAAGAUCAGCAAACUUAAUGUUUUUAACAUUCUAAAACAUUUUUAUUGUUAAAAACAUUGAGUUUGCUGAUUUUGAAUAUGCUAA